GACGAACGCUGGCGGCGUGCUUAACACAUGCAAGUCGAACGGAAAGGCCCUGCUUGCAGGGUACUCGAGUGGCGAACGGGUGAGUAACACGUGGGUGAUCUGCCCUGCACUUCGGGAUAAGCCUGGGAAACUGGGUCUAAUACCGGAUAGGAGCCAUUUUUAGUGUGAUGGUUGGAAAGUUUUUUCGGUGUAGGAUGAGCUCGCGGCCUAUCAGCUUGUUGGUGGGGUAAUGGCCUACCAAGGCGGCGACGGGUAGCCGGCCUGAGAGAGUGGACGGCCACAUUGGGACUGAGAUACGGCCCAGACUCCUACGGGAGGCAGCAGUGGGGAAUAUUGCACAAUGGGCGCAAGCCUGAUGCAGCGACGCCGCGUGGGGGAUGACGGCCUUCGGGUUGUAAACUCCUUUCGCUAGGGACGAAGCUUUUGUGACGGUACCUAGAUAAGAAGCACCGGCUAACUACGUG
RNAcentral lists this ribosomal RNA (464 nucleotides) under uncultured bacterium. RNAcentral's name for it is "partial 16S ribosomal RNA". It matches the Rfam family "Bacterial small subunit ribosomal RNA", at positions 28 to 507 of the family's 1533-position model. The record is from RNAcentral.